AGUUAGUCCACUGUAGGGGUAGGAUGCGUAUCAAGAUAGGAUCUAUCGAUCUUAAUAAAGAAGACUAGUCCUAUGAAAUUUGAGAGGCUAAGUUUAAGAGUCUAUGGCCAUAGCAGUAUAAUUGAUAAAAAAGAGUUUUCAUAAAAAUCACAACUGAACUUGAGCUAAUCGAAUCUAUCAUAUGAGUGAUGAUGAGGUUUGACGAUUUAUCUAUGACCUACCAUCUAGUUGGGACUCACGAUAGAGAGUGAAUCACACGUUAACUAUAUCUAGAGGUUCAUUUCAAUUCUACUGGAUUGCCACUACAUACUGCUAGGUAUCACUGAUGGAUUGUGAGAGCUCACUAGGAUUGUUCUGGAUCGACAAUCCUUGUUGAGUUAGAAUGAAAUUGUUCUGACCCAUUGAAAAG
Molecule: long non-coding RNA, 409 nt
Filed under: Elaeis guineensis (African oil palm)
Lineage: Eukaryota; Viridiplantae; Streptophyta; Magnoliopsida; Arecales; Arecaceae
Description: long non-coding RNA (EGUI_LNC009474)
Source: RNAcentral